UACGGAAGGGGCAAGCGUUGUUCGGAAUCAUUGGGCGUAAAGGGCGCGUAGGUGGCGGCUUAAGCGUGCGGUGAAAGCUCGGGGCUCAACCCCGAGUCGGCCGUGCGAACUGAGUCGCUUGAGCACUGUAGAGGCAGGCGGAAUUCCGGGUGUAGCGGUGGAAUGCGUAGAGAUCCGGAAGAACACCGGUGGCGAAGGCGGCCUGCUGGGCAGUAGCUGACACUGAGGCGCGACAGCGUGGGGAGCAAACAGG
This 253-nucleotide ribosomal RNA is filed under the name uncultured bacterium. Its description in RNAcentral is "partial 16S ribosomal RNA". It matches the Rfam family "Bacterial small subunit ribosomal RNA", at positions 524 to 776 of the family's 1533-position model. The record is from RNAcentral.